This 221-nucleotide ribosomal RNA is filed under the name uncultured bacterium. Its description in RNAcentral is "partial 16S ribosomal RNA". It matches the Rfam family "Bacterial small subunit ribosomal RNA", at positions 113 to 334 of the family's 1533-position model. The record is from RNAcentral.
CAACGUGAGGAACUUGUCCCGGUCUCUGGGAUAACAGUUGGAAACGACUGCUAAUACCGGAUGACGUCGGAGCGUCGCAUGGCGCGCUGACGAAAGGGUUACUGGAUCGGGAGAGCCUCGCGGCCUAUCAGCUUGUUGGUGGGGUAACGGCCUACCAAGGCAUCGACGGGUAGCUGGUCUGAGAGGAUGAUCAGCCACACUGGGACUGAGACACGGCCCAG